CUGAGCCAGGAUCAAACUCUACCUUGUUACGAGUUCACCUGAGCCAGGAUCAAACUCUAAGGGCGAAUUCUGCAGAUAUCCAUCACACUGGCGGCCGCUCGAGCAUGCAUCUAGAGGGCCCAAUUCGCCCUAUAGUGAGUCGUAUUACAAUUCACUGGCCGUCGUUUUACAACCGGCUCCUCUUCGGACCUCGCGCUGUCUUAUGAGCCUGCCUUGUAUUAGCUAAUUGGUGGGGUAAAGGCCUACCCAUUCGACUAUCCAUAUCUGGCCUGAAAUAAUGAUCAUCAGGACUGGGACUGAUACACGGCCCAGACUCCUACGGGACGCAGCAUUGGUGAAUAUUGCCCAAUGGGCGAAAGCCUGACUCAGCCCUGCCGCGUGUGUGAAGAAGGCUUUCGGGUUGUAAAGCACUUUAAGUGGGGAGGAAGGCCAUCAAGUUAAUAUCUUGGUGGAUUGACGUUACCCACACAAUAAUCACCGGCUAACUCCCUGCCAAUGUCCGCCCUAAUACAGGUGGUGCAAGCGUUAAUCGGAUUUACUGCGCGCUAAGCGCGCUGAGGCGGCUUGCUCCUUGGAUGUGAAAGCCCUGGGCUCAACCUGGCAACUGCAUUCAAUACUGCCAUGCUAUAGUACCAGAGAAGGGGGUAGAAUUCCCUGUGUACCGGUGAAUGCUUAUAUAUGUGGAGGAAUACCGGGGCUAAAGCCGCCCCUGGUCUCGAUACUGACGCUCAGUGCGAAAGCGUGGGGAGCAAACAGGAUUAUAUACCCUGGUAGUCCACCCCGGUCACGAUGUCUUUACCCUUUGGGGGGACUUUAUCCCCUUAGUGGCCGAUCUUAUGCCAUGAUUAUACCGCCUGAGUAUCCAGCUGGAAAGGUUGAACUUCAAAUGAUGUGUCUGCGGGCCGCUCAGCGCGUCGUUACAUCUCGGUUAAUCUCAAUCCACUCGACAACCUUAACAGCCUGCUGCCCUGGCCAAAUUUUUGACAAGUACAUUCAUUGCACUGGGGCGAA
Molecule: ribosomal RNA, 1011 nt
Filed under: uncultured bacterium
Lineage: Bacteria
Description: bacterial SSU rRNA
Rfam family: Bacterial small subunit ribosomal RNA
Source: RNAcentral